CGUCAAAAAUUUCAUCUCUCGUCUCCAUUUUUCUUCGUGUUCGAUCGAAGGGUGAAAAUUUUGCGCCGUAGUUUUUCGAGUUUUUCCAAUAAAAUAUUGCUGCGUAUUCACCAAAUUCUAGUGUUUAGAAGAAACUUGUGCUGUGAUAGUCAAAAUUCGAUAGUUGAAGUUUAGAUUUAGUUGGUGUUUAAAGCAGAAAAAAGGCUUAGAAUAUUCGCCCUUGUGCCUCGUUGGUUAGCACCCAGGUUCAGCAGAGCAGAAGCUAGAAGAGAAAAAAAUCCAAUAAUGGGUCGCAAAAAGAAGAAGGCAUCGAAGCCCUGGUGCUGGUACUGCAAUCGCGAAUUCGAUGAUGAAAAAAUUUUGGUGCAGCACCAGAAGGCCAAACACUUCAAGUGUCACAUCUGCCACAAGAAGCUCUACACCGGUCCCGGGCUGUCCAUCCACUGUAUGCAGGUGCACAAGGAAUCGAUUGACAAAGUGCCAAACUCGCUGCCCAAUCGGUCCAACAUAGAGAUUGAGAUCUACGGGAUGGAGGGCAUCCCGCCGGAUGACAUUCGGGAGCACGAAAAGCAGAAGAACGGUGGCACCCGGUCCGACUCCGAAGAGGACGAACCGGCACACAAGAAACCGAAACAGGAAGCGUCUGUUUCCCAGGGCAUGGUAAUGCCUAACAUGAUGACACCCCAUCUGCAGCCGUACGGAAUGAAUCCGAUGAUGGCAACGAUGGGCCAUAUGCCCUACAUGGUUCCUCCCGGAAUGCAGAUGAUGCCACCGAUGAUGGGUGGCCAUCCGCGGCCAUUAUUCCCGGCAGCCGCCACGUCAUCUACAAUCUCCGCCAAUCCCGCUCUGAACAAGGCCACGUUUCCUGCCUAUAGUAGUGCGACGAUCAGUGCGCCGCCCACAACCAAUUCGGCAAACGCGGCGAGUGCAGCUGCUACGGGCGAUGCGGCCAAAUCUUCGACUGUGAUACCCGCCACCGGUACAACUUCCAAAAUAGUGCACCCACCCGAGGAUCUCAGCUUAGAAGAGAUCCGAGCCCGCAAGCCACAGUAUCAGAAAAAGAUAAGCCUGGCGACGCAACAGCUUCUGCAGCAGAAACAGCAGGAGAAACACGCGGCUGCGGCCGUAGCUGCGGCCACGGCAGCUGCUCAGCAACAGCAACAGCAGGUCCAGGCCCAUUUUAAAGCGCUCUCUUCGGCGGCUGCGGCCAGUGUGACCAACACCAUCGUGACCAGCAACCAUGGCAAAGACAGUCGGCUAUUGUCGCCCCACGAGCAAGCAGCCGUGAUAGCGCACGCCCAAGCUGCGGCAGCAAAUCAUCAAAAGCAUAUCGAAGAGCUAAAUCGAGCCGCUAUGAUCCAACGGCUACAGGCAGCGAAUGCAGCGGCCGCUUCGGCUGCAGCAGCUCGACCCGGACUGCCAAUCGGAAUGGUACCGAUGUCGCUAAACGGCCCAAUGCAACUCGUAAACCCGAUGAUGCGACAGGGGCUGGCAAUUGGUCACCCAGGAGCGGCCCUUAUUGGCGGCAAUAUGCUCCGUCAUGGUCCUCCGCAAAUGGGGCUUGGUCCAGGCAUUAUUUGAGUAAAUCUUCCCCAUUUUCCGAACCUCUAUGAUCGAUGAUAAAUGCUAAAAAAAAUCGACACAAAACUUUCAUAAUCGGUAGUGCAUUGUGUAACACAAUUGAUACGAGCCAUCAAAAUGCAAAUAAAAGGAAAGCAAGACAUCAUCCCAAUUCUACCGUAAAUUCACUCUCGUGCAACCUUACCAACCGAGAAAAAGCCCAAACAUGCAAUGUGAAAUUUAAAAUACAACUCCAUUCCCAGCAGCCAUGUGGCCUCAUUGCGCAGAUUCCAGGGGUACCGGGCAUGGGUAUGGUGUUCCCGGGACCGCCCAUGUUGCCGAUGCUGCCUCCCCGUUUCCGGUGAUCAGUUCAGGCCCCAGUGGUGCUGCAGGCUGCUGGCCCUCUGUUGAACUUCGGCCUGCCGAUUGUGUAUCCAUGAGUGCACCCCGAUACGAAAAGCGAAUGAGAUCAUGCAGCACUGCAGCAGCAAAGCACUCAAAACGGGAGGAUACGGAAUGGAUGCCCCAGCUACGGCAGGAUCUUCAUCGACUCUCCAUACCAAGCAAGUGGCAAUUUUUCCUCUAUAAUAUUUUAUAAAAUCCUAAAUACCUAGUGGGUAGUACUAAGAUAGUAAGGCCUUACAUAGUUUUCUAAAGCGUGGGUUGUUACGAGUUUCGAAAGAUUCUCUCUUUGCUUUCCUUUCUGCAAUUCAGGUAGAGAUAACAGCUUAUAACGAUAUCAAGAUAUUAGUGGACUAUAGUAAUUUAAUGUCAGGAUAUUCUUAAAAUAUAAUGAACACAGCUUGAAGCUGUUGACUUGUUGGUAGUGCCAUUCGCUGCCGAACGCUGUAA
Molecule: RNA transcript, 2412 nt
Organism: Armigeres subalbatus
Lineage: Eukaryota; Metazoa; Arthropoda; Insecta; Diptera; Culicidae
Gene: BuGZ
Gene name: BUB3-interacting and GLEBS motif-containing protein ZNF207
Exons: 8
Source: RefSeq, a predicted model, not a curated record